UACGUAGGUGGCAAGCGUUAUCCGGAUUUAUUGGGUGUAAAGGGCGUGUAGGCGGGAGCGCAAGUCAGAUGUGAAAACUCAGGGCUCAACCCUGAGCCUGCAUUUGAAACUGUGUUUCUUGAGUGCUGGAGGGGCAAUCGGAAUUCCGUGUGUAGCGGUGAAAUGCGUAGAUAUACGGAGGAACACCAGUGGCGAAGGCGGAUUGCUGGACAGUAACUGACGCUGAGGCGCGAAAGCGUGGGGAGCAAACAGG
This 253-nucleotide ribosomal RNA is filed under the name uncultured bacterium. RNAcentral describes it as "partial 16S ribosomal RNA". It matches the Rfam family "Bacterial small subunit ribosomal RNA", at positions 524 to 776 of the family's 1533-position model. The record is from RNAcentral.